GACGAACGCUGGCGGCGUGCUUAACACAUGCAAGUCGAACGAUGAACCCGGAGCUUGCUCCGGCGGAUUAGUGGCGAACGGGUGAGUAACACGUGAGUAACCUGCCCUUGACUCUGGGAUAACUGCUAGAAAUGGUAGCUAAUACCGGAUACGACCCUCGGUGGCAUCACCAGGGGGUGGAAAGAAUUUCGGUCAAGGAUGGACUCGCGGCCUAUCAGCUAGUUGGUGAGGUAACGGCUCACCAAGGCGACGACGGGUAGCCGGCCUGAGAGGGUGACCGGCAACCCUGGGACUGAGACACGGCCCAGACGCCUACGGGAGGCAGCAGUGGGGAAUAUUGCACAAUGGGCGCAAGCCUGAUGCAGCAACGCCGCGUGAGGGAUGACGGCCUUCGGGUUGUAAACCUCUCUUAGUAGGGAAGAAGCGAAAGUGACGGUACCUGCAGAAAAAGCACCGGCUAACUACGUGCCAGCCGCCGCCGUAA
RNAcentral lists this ribosomal RNA (484 nucleotides) under uncultured bacterium. RNAcentral describes it as "partial 16S ribosomal RNA". It matches the Rfam family "Bacterial small subunit ribosomal RNA", at positions 28 to 523 of the family's 1533-position model. The record is from RNAcentral.